AACGAACGCUGGCGGCAUGCCUAACACAUGCAAGUCGAACGAUACCUUCGGGUCUAGUGGCGCACGGGUGCGUAACGCGUGGGAACCUGCCCUUAGGUUCGGAAUAACUCCCCGAAAGGGGUGCUAAUACCGGAUAAUGUCUUCGGACCAAAGAUUUAUCGCCUUUGGAUGGGCCCGCGUUGGAUUAGCUAGUUGGUAGGGUAAAAGCCUACCAAGGCGACGAUCCAUAGCUGGUCUGAGAGGAUGAUCAGCCACACUGGGACUGAGACACGGCCCAGACUCCUACGGGAGGCAGCAGUGGGGAAUAUUGGAAAAUGGGCGAAAGCCUGAUCCAGCAAUGCCGCGUGAGUGAUGAAGGCCUUAGGGUUGUAAAGCUCUUUUAACCGGGAUGAUAAUGACAGUACCGGGAGAAUAAGCUCCGGCUAACUCCGUG
Molecule: ribosomal RNA, 433 nt
Filed under: uncultured bacterium
Lineage: Bacteria
Description: partial 16S ribosomal RNA
Rfam family: Bacterial small subunit ribosomal RNA
Source: RNAcentral